Molecule: ribosomal RNA, 227 nt
Filed under: uncultured bacterium
Lineage: Bacteria
Description: partial 16S ribosomal RNA
Rfam family: Bacterial small subunit ribosomal RNA
Source: RNAcentral
UCCGUAGGCGGGUAAUUAAGUCAGAGGUGAAAUCCCACAGCUUAACUGUGGAACUGCCUUAGAUACUGGUUAUCUUGAGUUUUAGUGAAGUAGAUAGAAUGUGUAGUGUAGCGGUGAAAUGCAUAGAUAUUACACGGAAUACCGAUUGCGAAGGCAGUCUACUAACUAACAACUGACGCUAAUGGACGAAAGCGUGGGGAGCGAACAGGAUUAGAUACCUGGUAGUC